CCCUUAGAUGUUCUGGGCCGCACGCGCGCUACACUGAUGCAUUCAACGAGCCUAUCCUUGACCGACAGGUCCGGGUAAUCUUUGAAUCUGCAUCGUGACGGGGAUAGAUUAUUGCAAUUAUUAAUCUUCAACGAGGAAUGCCUAGUAGGCGCAAGUCAUCAGCUUGCGUCGAUUACGUCCCUGCCCUUGGUACACACCGCCCGUCGCUCCUACCGAUUGGGUGUGCUGGUGAAAUGUUCGGAUCGGCCGUUUGUCGCGGUUUCCGCGGCUCGUGGCUGAGAAGUUCAUUAAACCCUCCCACCUAGAGGAAGGAGAAGUCGUAACA
RNAcentral lists this ribosomal RNA (325 nucleotides) under uncultured eukaryote. RNAcentral's name for it is "partial 18S ribosomal RNA". It matches the Rfam family "Eukaryotic small subunit ribosomal RNA", at positions 1470 to 1796 of the family's 1831-position model. The record is from RNAcentral.